UUCCGCGGUGACGCCUUAUUCUUAAGUUCUUAACAAAUUUCAAAUUUGACGGAGUGCUCCAGUCUUCCUACUAUAAAAAGCCACGCCACACUGUUGACGCGAUUCAUGCAUUCUUAUUACGCCAGCCGCCAGGUGGAAAAAAUGACACGUUUGGUAAUUAAUUUUGCCAUUCUGGACACUGAUGAUGUGCCACUUAUGGCGGGAAUUUCUGCCCUGGUGAGCAGACUGACAGUUACUCCUAAUUCUGGCUUCAGUAUUCCGGGAACGGAAAAUGUUUUUUCAGAUUAUAACGAGCUCGCUAGCUUGGACGAUUUUCACGCUGAUUACACCGAUCCGUAUAUGCUCCGUCAGAAACCCAGCAAGCACACGAUUUUGGUCUUAAUGCCGGCACUCACAAGUUGAUCAUCUAUCACUUUACCUUUCGUGGAAAACUCAGAGUUGACAAGUUGCGUGUGGAGUACUACCAACCUACUCUAGUUAUUUGCACUACCACUGCGGUGUUGAACUGUUUUUCUUGUUAAAAAAAGAUAACUGCGUGGAUAAUACUUAUAUAUGGUAGCUGCAGAGAUA
Long non-coding RNA from Paramacrobiotus metropolitanus, 570 nucleotides. RefSeq lists it as uncharacterized. NCBI's taxonomy places the organism in Eukaryota, Metazoa, Tardigrada, Eutardigrada, Parachela, Macrobiotidae. The record is from RefSeq and is a predicted model, not a curated record. The transcript is spliced from 3 exons.